UGUCCGGGCAUGCUGGGAGUUGUAGUUUUGCAACAGCUGGAGGCACGCUGGUUGGGAAACACUAUGCUAAGCUGUAGUGUGAUGUUAUGGGCCUGGCCCCCUUCCUGAUGCCCCUGCACGUUACAUCACACUGCCGCGCAGCCUAUGACCGGCCAAGGCGGGACAUCGCUUUGAACAGCAAUUAGCUCAGCGCAGUGUGACAUGUGGGGCGCCACAAGCAGGAAGAAGACCAGAGCGGGGGAUGAAAAAGCGAUUCCAGCGGCACCAGAGGAGCGGCAGAAGCUUGGACGAAAAGUGAGAAAAGAGAUGUAAAAAGGAUCCAACAAACAUAUAAGAAGAGUCUACACAACUACCUGGCGUAAGUCACCCGAUGAUUGCGACAGAAGGCAUCAAGUGUUCCUACACCGUGCCCACAGCAGGAAGGAGGCGUGCCUUUCCCUUGCCUGCACUGCAAUGACUCCUCUCCCUUCCUCACUCUGCUGACUCACUGCUCCAUGGGACAUGGCAGCCCUGCUCUGUAACCCUUUCUUCUCUGGAUUUAUGCUGUACACAAACUGAUUAUUGGAGAUUGCCUGUACUCGACCACCAAAGAC
Hyla sarda is the source of this 593-nucleotide long non-coding RNA. RefSeq lists it as uncharacterized. NCBI's taxonomy places the organism in Eukaryota, Metazoa, Chordata, Amphibia, Anura, Hylidae. The record is from RefSeq and is a predicted model, not a curated record. The transcript has 3 exons.